Small nucleolar RNA from Amaranthus tricolor (Joseph's coat), 107 nucleotides. Lineage: Eukaryota; Viridiplantae; Streptophyta; Magnoliopsida; Caryophyllales; Amaranthaceae. The record is from RefSeq and is a predicted model, not a curated record.
AUUCCAUGGUGCGGACACUUCCUUUGCAAACCUUUAUAUCUUUACCAAGCCUCAUAUAAUGCUUCACCAUCUUCUUGACGGAAUGAAGUGAUGUCAUUGCGUAGUUU